UAUAUCAUGGAAUUGGCCUUCUAUUGGUCCCUUAUGUUUUCUCAGUUUACAGACAUUAAAAGAAAGGACUUCCUGAUUAUGUUUGUGCAUCACUUGGUCACCAUUGGGCUUAUCUCCUUCUCCUACAUCAACAAUAUGGUUCGAGUGGGAACUCUGAUCAUGUGUCUACAUGAUGUCUCAGACUUCUUGCUGGAGGCAGCCAAACUGGCCAAUUAUGCCAAGUAUCAGCGGCUCUGUGACACCCUUUUUGUGAUCUUCAGUGCUGUUUUUAUGGUUACACGACUAGGAAUCUAUCCAUUCUGGUAAGUGGUAGGGCUGUAGAGUUGUGGUAGGUAUGAGCCUAAUGAUACCUUUUUGCCAAUUCUCAUUUUGCCCAUUCAGUUUUUCUGUUCUAUUCUAUUCUACUUUUGCCAAUAGAACACAAGAACCCUAUUGCCCUGCUUUUACCUUGGCCUGUGCUGACCUUUUAUGGACUCUCAUAGGACCUCUGCUGCCUCACACCGUAUUUCUAGCAAGGUUGGAUCCAGACUCAGAGUACCCGACUUGGUUGGCUUCUCAGGACUGACUCAUCUCUUGAGGAACAGUCCUCAUUUUA
RNAcentral lists this small RNA (595 nucleotides) under Pongo abelii (Sumatran orangutan). RNAcentral describes it as "retained intron". Lineage: Eukaryota; Metazoa; Chordata; Mammalia; Primates; Hominidae. The record is from RNAcentral.